AAGUGGAUUCAAGCUCAGUGGUAGAGUGCUUGCCUAGCAUACAUAAGGCCCUGGGUUCCAUCCCCAAUUUACCUA
This 75-nucleotide transfer RNA is filed under the name Marmota monax (woodchuck). Its description in RNAcentral is "tRNA.Ala". Lineage: Eukaryota; Metazoa; Chordata; Mammalia; Rodentia; Sciuridae. The record is from RNAcentral.